Molecule: ribosomal RNA, 443 nt
Filed under: uncultured bacterium
Lineage: Bacteria
Description: partial 16S ribosomal RNA
Rfam family: Bacterial small subunit ribosomal RNA
Source: RNAcentral
CCUACGGGAGGCAGCAGUGGGGAAUAUUGGGCAAUGGGCGCAAGCCUGACCCAGCAACGCCGCGUGAAGGAAGAAGGCUCUCGGGUUGUAAACUUCUUUUAUCAGGGACGAAACACGUGACGGUCCCUGAUCAAUAAGCCACGGCUACCUACGUGCCAGCAGCCGCGGUACUACGUAGGUGGCAAGCGUUAUCCGGAUGUACUGGGUGUAAAGGGCGUGUAGGCGGGAAAGCAAGUCAGAUGUGAAAACCAUGGGCUCAACCUGUGGCCUGCAUUUGAAACUGUUUUUCUUGAGUACGGGAGAGGCAGACGGAAUUCCUAGUGUAGCGGUGAAAUGCGUAGAUAUUAGGAGGAACACCAGUGGCGAAGGCGGGCUGCUGGACAGCAACUGACGCUGAGGCGCGAAAGCGUGGGGAGCAAACAGGAUUAGAUACCCGAGUAGUC